CUUAAUUAGAGGGACAUAUGCUCCUUGAGGUAUCCGCCCACUCGUUCGGAAGUGAGGACGGCCGGCCCCCUGCACAUCUGAACUGUGAGUUUACUUGAUUACUUUCCUUAUUUAAGCAAUGUUGAUUUUUAAACAUGUUUGUAUUCUGUCUUGAUAAAAGUUCCCUAGCGGAACUGAAACGUUGACCUUUGGAAUAAAGAAAAGUUGUUGUUUUUUGAAUAAAUCCUGGGAGUGCUGAUUCCUCUUGGCUGUAUCUAUUUACUGCAAUUGAG
This is a non-coding RNA of Pelobates cultripes (western spadefoot toad), 272 nucleotides long. Lineage: Eukaryota; Metazoa; Chordata; Amphibia; Anura; Pelobatidae. The record is from the annotation of a GenBank genome assembly.